RNAcentral lists this ribosomal RNA (460 nucleotides) under uncultured bacterium. RNAcentral's name for it is "partial 16S ribosomal RNA". It matches the Rfam family "Bacterial small subunit ribosomal RNA", at positions 338 to 795 of the family's 1533-position model. The record is from RNAcentral.
CCUACGGGAGGCAGCAGUGAGGAAUAUUGGUCAAUGGGCGCGAGCCUGAACCAGCCAAGUCGCGUGAGGGAUGAAGGUUCUAUGGAUCGUAAACCUCUUUUAUAAGGGAAGAAAGGGGGGGACGUGUCCUAUUUUGUAUGUACCUUAUGAAUAAGGAUCGGCUAACUCCGUGCCAGCAGCCGCGGUAAUACGGAGGAGUCGAGCGUUAUCCGGAUUUAUUGGGUUUAAAGGGUGCGUAGGCGGCCUUUUACGUCAGCGGUGAAAGUCUGUGGCUCAACCAUAGAAUUGCCGUUGAAACUGGGGGGCUUGAGUGUGUGAGAGGCAGGCGGAAUGCGUGGUGUAGCGGUGAAAUGCUUAGAUAUCACGCAAAACCCCGAUUGCGAAGGCAGCCUACCAAGCCAUGACUGACGCUGAGGCACGAAAGCGUGGGGAUCGAACAGGAUUAGAUACCCUAGUAGUC